RNAcentral lists this unclassified non-coding RNA (360 nucleotides) under Chytridiomycota sp. RNAcentral's name for it is "partial contains small subunit ribosomal RNA, internal transcribed spacer 1, and 5.8S ribosomal RNA". The stretch from base 1 to 47 matches the Rfam family "Eukaryotic small subunit ribosomal RNA", at positions 1785 to 1831 of the family's 1831-position model. The record is from RNAcentral. Lineage: Eukaryota; Fungi; Chytridiomycota.
AAAGUCGUAACAAGGUAACCGUAGGUGAACCUGCGGUUGGAUCAUUACUGAAAAAUGCUUGUUUGAGUCUGGUCACAUCUAGUGUCUGCACUCUGUGGAUACUAGAGUGACAACUCUUACAUACCUCAUGUGCACUGUGUUGUCUCUGGUGGUGGGGUGUGGACAGCGUGGGCGGGGCGCUCCAUGAGCGUUGUGCCCACUUUGCUAUCUGUACCUGUCAGCCUGGGUGUCUUUCAAGGUUUCCCUUGCCGUGGACAAGCCGCCAAACAUAUGUUCUAAACAUUUUGCUCUAUAUUUAUGGUCUGAUAUUACUUUUUCUUAAAAAAGAAACAACUUUUGACAAUGGAUCUCUAGGCUCUC